Molecule: long non-coding RNA, 855 nt
Organism: Oncorhynchus keta (chum salmon)
Lineage: Eukaryota; Metazoa; Chordata; Actinopteri; Salmoniformes; Salmonidae
Exons: 3
Source: RefSeq, a predicted model, not a curated record
AGUAUCUGGUUCUGAUGAAGAGGCAGAAGCAAGACAGACAGACAGACAGGCCAGCGUCUGGGACAGGCAGACAGGCCAGUCCUGCCAUGGCCCUUGGCCUCAGCCCAGUGGAAAGGGUUGCAGGACUCAUCUCUCUCCAGUCCGCAGAGGAAGUCAGACCCGCAGCCUAGCCUGGGAAAGAGGGCAGAGAAGAUGACCCUGUGACAUGGUGUGGAGGAAGCCCCAGCAGUACUGUCAGAGCCAACAAAACAGGAACACAAGCCGGAGAUAAAUAGCAUCGAAGAACGAAUGAAAAGCAAGACAGGUUUUGAAAGGGAGCUUAUCAGAUCCACAGAAGAGGGCAAGGAUGACUACAGAGCAAAAAAGAAGGAGAGCUCCAACAUGGCAUUUCCUGUCUAAAGUUCUGCUCAUCUGGCAACACUUGGUUUCAACACUUAAUCUGAUAAAGGAAAUGGAAGGAACUGUACUUGCUGGUCUUACCAAUAGUUUAGACAUCAAUGCCUGGAUGUGACACUCUCACCUAAACUCACUAUUCAUUCUUGUGGGUGAAUCAUCCUACCACAACAUUUCCAGUGUUUGACAUAUCUGAUUCUCUGCCUUCCCCUUCAAGAUAAUAAUUGAAUUUACAAGUUUACUUUAUUUCAAUAACUUUUCUAUUUCACAACUACUGCAUACAUUUGGUUUGUGAAAUUGCAACAAUACCUAGCAACAGGUGAUUAGGCUACAAACAUACAGUUCUUUCAGAAAGUAUUCCUACACCUUGAUUUAUUCCACAAUUUGUUGUUUUACAGUUUGAAUUCAAAAUGGAUUAAAUAUAUUUUGUUCUCACCCAUCAACACAUAAUACCCCAUUAUG